RNAcentral lists this ribosomal RNA (482 nucleotides) under uncultured bacterium. Its description in RNAcentral is "partial 16S ribosomal RNA". It matches the Rfam family "Bacterial small subunit ribosomal RNA", at positions 30 to 507 of the family's 1533-position model. The record is from RNAcentral.
AUUGAACGCUGGCGGCAUGCCUUACACAUGCAAGUCGAACGGUAACGGGCCUUCGGGUGCCGACGAGUGGCGAACGGGUGAGUAAUACAUCGGAACGUGCCCGAUCGUGGGGGAUAACGAGGCGAAAGCUUUGCUAAUACCGCAUACGAUCUACGGAUGAAAGCAGGGGACCGCAAGGCCUUGCGCGGACGGAGCGGCCGAUGGCAGAUUAGGUAGUUGGUGGGAUAAAAGCUUACCAAGCCGACGAUCUGUAGCUGGUCUGAGAGGAUGAUCAGCCACACUGCGACUGCGACACGGCCCAGACUCCUACGGGAGGCAGCAGUGGGGAAUUUUGGACAAUGGGCGCAAGCCUGAUCCAGCCAUGCCGCGUGCAGGAUGAAGGCCUUCGGGUUGCAAACUGCUUUUGUACGGAACGAAAAGCCUUCUUUUAAUACAGGAGGGUCAUGACGGUACCGUAAGAAUAAGCACCGGCUAACUACGUG